RNAcentral lists this ribosomal RNA (241 nucleotides) under uncultured bacterium. RNAcentral describes it as "partial 16S ribosomal RNA". The stretch from base 26 to 241 matches the Rfam family "Bacterial small subunit ribosomal RNA", at positions 104 to 334 of the family's 1533-position model. The record is from RNAcentral.
CAAUCCAUGAGUACAGUGGCGACCGGGGUGUAGUAACACGUGACUACCUACCCUUGAGUGGGGGAUAACCUCGGGAAACCGAGGCUAAUACCGCAUAAUAUCGAAAGAUCAAAGGAGUAAUCCGCUUUUGGAGGGGGUCGCGGCUGAUUAGCUAGUUGGUAGGGUAAUGGCCUACCAAGGCGAAGAUCGGUAUCCGGCCUGAGAGGGCGCACGGACACACUGGAACUGAAACACGGUCCAG